GAAAAGUCAAAUAUCAACAGCUUGUUGUGCAACCUCUUCAAAAAUUUUUUAUUUAAUAAACGAUUAAAAAAAUUUCUUUUUACGUUUUUACAUUGCCGUAUUUUAUAAAGAAACAAUUAAAACAUUUUCACUAAAAGUUUAGUGAAGUCACUAAACUUUUUACGAGCUUAAAGAUCAUUAUAUUUGUUAUAAAACCAUCACAAAUAACCUUACAAAUAAAAAAAAUUAUCAUAGAAAUACCGCACAUCAUCAUGACGUGAUAAAAAUUCUUUACGUUGUUAAAAAAAUAUCUAUGGCAUAGCAAUCAUGGUGUAGAAUUUAAACACUACUACGUGAUAAAAACUACAUUGGCUUCAUAUCGUAGACGUAAUCAAAUGAUUUCAUCAGCGGGAUAGUUGAUGAUGGUGCAGGAGUGGCAUUUGGUGGAUUUAUUUUAUCCUUGUUUGAAAAGCAAAAGAUAUGAGACAUUUGGAAAUGCCGAUCGCUACAGAAAAAAAAACACCUGGUAAAGUGAUCGAUAUAAGCCAAUAAAAUGUCAGAUAUCGAGAAGAAAUUACACUACCAG
Molecule: long non-coding RNA, 565 nt
Organism: Hydractinia symbiolongicarpus
Lineage: Eukaryota; Metazoa; Cnidaria; Hydrozoa; Anthoathecata; Hydractiniidae
Exons: 3
Source: RefSeq, a predicted model, not a curated record